Ailuropoda melanoleuca (giant panda) is the source of this 104-nucleotide small nuclear RNA. The record is from Ensembl. Lineage: Eukaryota; Metazoa; Chordata; Mammalia; Carnivora; Ursidae.
GUGCUUGCUUCAGCAGCACUUAUACUAUGAUUGGAGUGAUACAGAAAAGAUUAGCGUGGCCCCUGCGCAAGGAUGAUACAUAAAAUCAGUCACAGCAAUUCUCA